This 1251-nucleotide small RNA is filed under the name Pan troglodytes (chimpanzee). Its description in RNAcentral is "processed transcript". Lineage: Eukaryota; Metazoa; Chordata; Mammalia; Primates; Hominidae. The record is from RNAcentral.
GUAGCCGGCCGGGGGCGGGCCCCGCUGGUUGCUCGGUUACAGCGCGUCUCUGCGCUCCGGAGAAAACUCUCCGGCGUUUGCAGCCCACUUCCCGCGCACUUGGCUGUGCCAUUGAGGCGUUAAAGAGUGUGGGCGCCUGUGGUCGAACCCGCUACGGACUAGCUUUGUGGUGUCAGCCUUUGUGACCCGGAAUUGCUGCUGUCAAAUGAGGAUCUUCCCAGUAGUGUUUUGCGAGGACUAGGUGUAAAUAUAAUGCCUGACCAUAGUAAAAGCCCUCAGAAAGUAUUAACUAUCACCGCCAUCCGGGUUGAAAAAGUAUUAAAGGUGGAAGAAGGCCCAUAUCUUUUUCUGUGGGUGCUUCAAGUGUUGUUGGAAGUGGAGGCAGCAGUGACAAGGGGAAGCUUUCCCUGCAGGAUGUAGCUGAGCUGAUUCGGGCCAGAGCCUGCCAGAGGGUGGUGGUCAUGGUGGGGGCCGGCAUCAGCACACCCAGUGGCAUUCCAGACUUCAGAUCUCCGGGGAGUGGCCUGUACAGCAGCCUCCGGCAGUACGAUCUCCCGUACCCCGAGGCCAUUUUUGAACUCCCGUUCUUCUUUCACAACCCCAAGCCCUUUUUCACUUUGGCCAAGGAGCUGUACCCUGGAAACUACAAGCCCAACGUCACUCACUACUUUCUCCGGCUGCUUCAUGACAAGGGGCUGCUUCUGCGGCUCUACACGCAGAACAUCGAUGGGCUUGAGAGAGUGUCGGGCAUCCCUGCCUCAAAGCUGGUUGAAGCUCAUGGAACCUUUGCCUCUGCCACCUGCACAGUCUGCCAAAGACCCUUCCCAGGGGAGGACAUUCGGGUAAAAUGUACAUUUACUGGGCACUUACUGAAGUCUCACAAGUACGUAACCACUCACCUCACAGCCACCCUCCCUCUUUGAAGGACCACGUGUAAUUACUAAACAUCCUGAGAACCUCUUGGGACAGAAACAAGCACAGAUGUGCCGUGACUCAUGUUUUUCCUGUGGGCACCCUCAGGCUGGCUCAGUAGCCCUCACUUGCUUGAGAUCCUGAAUCUGCGGGUUGGCGUCUUUGAUGGUUGCUGGAUCAUGCUCUGCCGUUAUCUCUUCGGAUAUGAGUUGCCCCUAGCCCACUGUCUGGCCCCUCUCUCUAGGGACCUCAGAUUGAACAUACAUUAGACCUUCUCUCUCCUGCUGCUCCUGAUCACUCUUCUGUCCUGUAAUUGCUGCUGCUUGUGCUGCGUUCUGG